This 71-nucleotide transfer RNA is filed under the name Sphaerodactylus townsendi. Its description in RNAcentral is "tRNA-Ala". The record is from RNAcentral. Lineage: Eukaryota; Metazoa; Chordata; Lepidosauria; Squamata; Sphaerodactylidae.
GGGCUGUGGCUCAGUAGAUAAGCUUCUGCUUUGCUUGCUGAAGGCCCCAGGUUCAAUCCUUGGCAUGUCCA